GCUGAACGAGUUGAGCAGAAGCUUAAGGAGGCCCGUGAGCCGGCGGAGAAAAGCUUGAAGGAUUAUUUGAAAGUUGUCAAGUAUAAUGAUUUGAAUCUUUGGAAUAUUCGAGUCUCUUCGACGAAAGCGCAUGCUCAAUUGUACAAGAUUGUUCGGAGAU
Caenorhabditis elegans is the source of this 160-nucleotide small nucleolar RNA. NCBI's taxonomy places the organism in Eukaryota, Metazoa, Nematoda, Chromadorea, Rhabditida, Rhabditidae. The record is from Ensembl.